AAAGAAAAAUAUUUAUUUAUCAUUAUCUUCUGUAAUUAUAAAAAAUAUGGAUAAAAUUAUGGAAUGAAUAUUAUAAAAAUUAUUUAAAUAUUAAUUUUUGAGACAAAUUGAAAGCAGAUAGACUAAUUUACGAAUAGACUUUGAAUGAAGAACUUUUACGAAUAACAUGUUUUCUAACGGAUAAACUUCGGACAUUGCUUGAUUACCUGGUUCAAAGAUUAAAUGUUGGACGUCUUUUAUGUGUGAUAUGUGUUCAUGAUAUAUUAUUUAGAAAGUUUGGAAUCUUUAAGCAUGACAGGCGACACGUCAUACUCGUUUAAUCGAAUAAGAAUAUUGUUUCUAAAGGAUUUGACCAUGGAAGACGAGGGUGCUUUAGUAAGAGGAGUAUGAUUGAUCGCUCAACCAUCAAGAGAUAAGCAGAUUGACGAGAAAAUUUUUAACAAGUAUGAAAAAAGUAAUUAAUAAAAAUUACAAACACUAUAAAAUUAUUAAAAAUAUACAAUCUAAAGUAAGUUUUUCUUUUUUAAAUAUCGAAUUAAAUUGCAUUUCUUCUUCAUGUUUAUGCUUCACUCUAUUGCCUUCUCUUCUCUGGUUCAAAAUUCGGGUCUUGAUCGAUCAAUGAUAGUUAGAGAGUUAAUCGAGAAAAGACUUUUAUUUAUCUUGAAUGUUUGUGGUACGAACUAAUUUCUAAUGCUUUUCUUUCUUUAUAUUUACACGUAAAUUAGAUUAGAAACUUUGAAAUUAUUGCCGAAAAUUGUAGAAAAAGAAGAAUUUGAUCUAGUACUCGCGGAGAAAGAGGAUCGAUGUCGUAAAAUGUUUGUAAACUAUAAUAUUAGUUUCCGUACGAGAAACCAGUAGAAACGAAAGUUCUUCCUCUGAUUGGUUCACUUAUAAGAAUAAAAUAAUUGCACCAAAUGAAGAAGAUUGCAAUUGGAUCACUGACAUUUCUAUGAAAAGUUUUUCCUUCUUGAGAAAAAUCCACUUUAUAAUAAAAAUUGGCUUACCUUAGAAUUUCUUAAGCUUCUUUUAUCAUUAAAAAGAAAAGAAAAGAAAAGGAAGAAAAAACGAAGAAAAGCCAAAAAAAAAACAGCUCUCGAAGUAAAAGCAAAUUCAUUUUCACAAAUGAAUCCAAGAAACUUUUUGCAUCUUUAUCGUCAUAGCGGAACGUUGAACCAUCAAACCUCUUAAUCAACCAACUUCUAAAAACGAACACACGUGAUCCGGGUUCGUUUCUUACGGGGAGAUCCGUGGAAUUCCUUAAUUUUGUGAAAUUCGAUCAAGAUACACGAUAUUCGCGUGGCCGACGCAUUCCACUUAUCAAUGAAAUAUCGUGUCGCUGUUUAAUUCCAGAUGACACGAUCUCGAGCAAACCUUACCUAUUCCAUAUAUUUCCUCCAAUCCUUUCCUCCGGUCCUUUUCUUACCACAUUUCGUUUUUUUCUCCCCUCUUCCGCGAUCCUUUCGUUCUUUCGCCUCUUAUCGUGGCCAAUACACCAGGUAUGUGUGUCGCUCGAUAAGUUGUAUUGUUCCUGGCCGGGUUGGUUCGUUGCGUCGAGCUUAUCGACCAAGAAUGAAAAAGGAAGUAAGGCGAAAUUCGUCGCGCCAAUCGUUUUUCGACCACCUGAAAUGUGCUCCCUACGGAUGAUCGAUUCUCGAAAGGAAAAAGGAAGACUUCGCCUUCUAUUUCUGAUCAUCGCGAUUUAAAUAAAAAAAUCCUUGAGAUCCAGUACCGUUCCUGUAAAAUUUUUUAAUUUUUAUCUAUCUAUCUAUCAACGUUUAUGAUUAUCUUUUUAUGGAUGAUUUAUAGUUACAUUAUGGAAAUAUUGGAAAUAGUGGAAUAUUUUUAAUCAUGAACGCAAAAUUUAAGGAGCUUAAAUAUUACUUUUUUCAUACUGAAACUUGUAGUAUCUAAAAUCUAUUUUGCAUAUAAAUAAUUGUAAAAUGAUAAAAAUAAGUAA
This 1957-nucleotide long non-coding RNA is filed under the name Apis florea (little honeybee). RNAcentral describes it as "uncharacterized LOC116415193". Lineage: Eukaryota; Metazoa; Arthropoda; Insecta; Hymenoptera; Apidae. The record is from RNAcentral.